GUCAGUUUGUCCGAGCGGUUAAGGAGUUGACUUGAAAUCCAAUGGGCUAUGCCCGCACAGGUUCAAAUCCUGUAGCCGACG
This 81-nucleotide transfer RNA is filed under the name Entomophthora muscae. RNAcentral describes it as "tRNA-Ser". It matches the Rfam family "tRNA". From Rfam's summary of the family: Transfer RNA (tRNA) molecules are approximately 80 nucleotides in length. Their secondary structure includes four short double-helical elements and three loops (D, anti-codon, and T loops). Further hydrogen bonds mediate the characteristic L-shaped molecular structure. tRNAs have two regions of fundamental functional importance: the anti-codon, which is responsible for specific mRNA codon recognition, and the 3' end, to which the tRNAs corresponding amino acid is attached (by aminoacyl-tRNA synthetases). tRNAs cope with the degeneracy of the genetic code in two manners: having more than one tRNA (with a specific anti-codon) for a particular amino acid; and 'wobble' base-pairing, i.e. permitting non-standard base-pairing at the 3rd anti-codon position. Lineage: Eukaryota; Fungi; Entomophthoromycota; Entomophthoromycetes; Entomophthorales; Entomophthoraceae. The record is from RNAcentral.